GUAAUCCCCUGGAAAGUGCCACAGAAAACACACCGCCUCGGCCAUGUGGCUGGGGUAAGGGUGAAAAGGUGGGGUAAGAGCCCACCGCCUCCUUUCACGAGAAAGGAGGGCACGGCAAACCCCGCCUGGAGCAAGGCCGUGUAGGGGACAGGGUGGUCCCGCCCUUAUGUCCCGGGUAGGCCGCUUGAGCAGUCAGGUGACUGACUGCCCAGAUGAAUGGCCACUGCCCCCAAUUAAAGGGGGAACAGAACCCGGCUUAUGACCAGCCCUCCCU
This 274-nucleotide RNase P RNA is filed under the name Deltaproteobacteria bacterium. RNAcentral's name for it is "partial RNase P RNA component class A". It matches the Rfam family "Bacterial RNase P class A", at positions 94 to 367 of the family's 367-position model. From Rfam's summary of the family: Ribonuclease P (RNase P) is a ubiquitous endoribonuclease, found in archaea, bacteria and eukarya as well as chloroplasts and mitochondria. Its best characterised activity is the generation of mature 5'-ends of tRNAs by cleaving the 5'-leader elements of precursor-tRNAs. Cellular RNase Ps are ribonucleoproteins. Lineage: Bacteria; Pseudomonadati; Myxococcota; Myxococcia. The record is from RNAcentral.